This 178-nucleotide ribosomal RNA is filed under the name uncultured bacterium. Its description in RNAcentral is "partial 16S ribosomal RNA". It matches the Rfam family "Bacterial small subunit ribosomal RNA", at positions 1325 to 1500 of the family's 1533-position model. The record is from RNAcentral.
GCUGGAAUCGCUAGUAAUCGCGGAUCAGAAUGCCGCGGUGAAUACGUUCCCGGGUCUUGUACACACCGCCCGUCACACCAUGGGAGCCGGGAAUGCCCGAAGUCGGUGACCUAACCUGAAAAGGGAGGAGCCGCCGAAGGCAGGUCUGGUAACUGGGGUGAAGUCGUAACAAGGUAUC